GCACUUUCAGUCGUGAGGAAGGUAGUGUAGUUAAUAGCUGCAUUAUUUGACGUUAGCGACAGAAGAAGCACCGGCUAACUCCGUGCCAGCAGCCGCGGUAAUACGGAGGGUGCGAGCGUUAAUACGGAAUUACUGGGACGUAAAGCGCAUGCAGGUGGUUUGUUAAGUCAGAUGUGAAAGGACCCGGGGCGUCAACCUACGGAAUAGCAUUUAGUAAACUGGCAGACUAGAGUACUGUAGAGGGGGGUAGGAAUUUCAGGUGUAGCGGUGAAAUGCGUAGAGAUCUGAAGGAAUACCGGUGGCGAAGGCGGCCCCCUGGACAGAUACUGACACUCAGAUGCGAAAGCGUGGGGAGCAAACAGGAUUAGAUACCCUGGUAG
This 380-nucleotide ribosomal RNA is filed under the name uncultured bacterium. Its description in RNAcentral is "bacterial SSU rRNA". It matches the Rfam family "Bacterial small subunit ribosomal RNA", at positions 430 to 793 of the family's 1533-position model. The record is from RNAcentral.